GUCCAGAUGGCUUAGUGGUUAGAGCUUCUGCAUAGUAAGCAGGAGACCUGGGUUCAGAUCCCAGUCUGGCACA
Molecule: transfer RNA, 73 nt
Filed under: Schistocerca americana (American grasshopper)
Lineage: Eukaryota; Metazoa; Arthropoda; Insecta; Orthoptera; Acrididae
Also listed under: 2 other names
Description: tRNA-Thr
Rfam family: tRNA
About the family: Transfer RNA (tRNA) molecules are approximately 80 nucleotides in length.
Source: RNAcentral